UUAGUCUCGGGCUACGCGUUAAGUCGACCGCCUGGGGAGUACGGCCGCAAGGUUAAAACUCAAAUGAAUUGACGGGGGCCCGCACAAGCGGUGGAGCAUGUGGUUUAAUUCGAUGCAACGCGAAGAACCUUACCUACUCUUGACAUCCAGAGAACUUACCAGAGAUGGUUUGGUGCCUUCGGGAACUCUGAGACAGGUGCUGCAUGGCUGUCGUCAGCUCGUGUUGUGAAAUGUUGGGUUAAGUCCCGCAACGAGCGCAACCCUUAUCCUUUGUUGCCAGCGGUUAGGCCGGGAACUCAAAGGAGACUGCCAGUGAUAAACUGGAGGAAGGUGGGGAUGACGUCAAGUCAUCAUGGCCCUUACGAGUAGGGCUACACACGUGCUACAAUGGCGCAUACAAAGAGAAGCGACCUCGCGAGAGCAAGCGGACCUCAUAAAAGUACGUCAA
RNAcentral lists this ribosomal RNA (448 nucleotides) under Enterobacter hormaechei. Its description in RNAcentral is "bacterial SSU rRNA". It matches the Rfam family "Bacterial small subunit ribosomal RNA", at positions 840 to 1289 of the family's 1533-position model. The record is from RNAcentral. Lineage: Bacteria; Pseudomonadati; Pseudomonadota; Gammaproteobacteria; Enterobacterales; Enterobacteriaceae.